GCCUAGUACACACUCUCUCUCUCUCUCUCUUUCUCUCUCUCUCUGUGUGUGUGUGUGUGCGUUUGAGAGAGAGAGAGAGAGAGAGAGAGAGAGAGUCAUCCUAGACC
Non-coding RNA from Podarcis lilfordi (Lilford's wall lizard), 107 nucleotides. The record is from the annotation of a GenBank genome assembly. NCBI's taxonomy places the organism in Eukaryota, Metazoa, Chordata, Lepidosauria, Squamata, Lacertidae.